Molecule: ribosomal RNA, 393 nt
Filed under: uncultured Pythiaceae
Lineage: Eukaryota; Oomycota; Peronosporomycetes; Pythiales
Description: SSU rRNA
Rfam family: Eukaryotic small subunit ribosomal RNA
Source: RNAcentral
CCAGCUCCAAUAGCGUAUAUUAAAGUUGUUGCAGUUAAAAAGCUCGUAGUUGGAUUUCUGUUUUGAGCGUCCGGUCCGCUUCUUUGAAGUGCGUUACUUGUGAUGUUUGAGACAUUUUUUGUGAGGUUGUUGUUCUGCCAUUAAGUUGGUGGUUCAAUGGACUUGCAUCGUUUACUGUGAAAAAAUUAGAGUGUUUAAAGCAGGCGUUUGCUCGUUGAAUACAUUAGCAUGGAAUAAUAAGAUACGACCUUGGUGGUCUAUUUUGUUGGUUUGCACACCAGGGUAAUGAUUAAUAGGGACAGUUGGGGGUAUUCAUAUUUCAGCGUCAGAGGUGAAAUUCUUGGAUCGCUGAAAGAUGAGCUUAGGCGAAAGCAUUUACCAAGGAUGUUUUCA